AUUAUUUUUGUAACAGAUUAAAUUUUAUAUCAUUUUUGGUUUUUGACAGAAUUAUAGAGAUUACAUGAAACAGAUUAAAACAAUCUACAGAAAAUAAAUACAAUAUUACUACUUAAAUUCCUACGGAUCGCUUCUAAGCGUUUAAGACCAAGUUACGAGAUGAAACACCGAUUCCGAACUCGCGAAACUCGGAAAUUUGCGUGGUUGCCACCGAUGAGAAGCACUGGAAUCCUCAUCUUAGUUGCCACAAGCUAAACUAUUCGAGGCUCGUCCACAAAACCUCGAGAUAGAAGCCUACAGCUUCUCCGAAAACUAACGCAAAAACGUACAAGCAAAACCAUGGACU
RNAcentral lists this small RNA (346 nucleotides) under Arabidopsis thaliana (thale cress). RNAcentral describes it as "ATSL190460". Lineage: Eukaryota; Viridiplantae; Streptophyta; Magnoliopsida; Brassicales; Brassicaceae. The record is from RNAcentral.